This 468-nucleotide ribosomal RNA is filed under the name uncultured bacterium. RNAcentral's name for it is "partial 16S ribosomal RNA". It matches the Rfam family "Bacterial small subunit ribosomal RNA", at positions 28 to 507 of the family's 1533-position model. The record is from RNAcentral.
GACGAACGCUGGCGGCGUGCUUAACACAUGCAAGUCGAACGGAAAGGCCCUGCUUUUGUGGGGUGCUCGAGUGGCGAACGGGUGAGUAACACGUGAGUAACCUGCCCUUGACUUUGGGAUAACUUCAGGAAACUGGGGCUAAUACCGGAUAGGAGCUCCUGCUGCAUGGUGGGGGUUGGAAAGUUUCGGCGGUUGGGGAUGGACUCGCGGCUUAUCAGCUUGUUGGUGGGGUAGUGGCUUACCAAGGCUUUGACGGGUAGCUGGCCUGAGAGGGUGACCGGCCACAUUGGGACUGAGAUACGGCCCAGACUCCUACGGGAGGCAGCAGUGGGGAAUAUUGCACAAUGGGCGGAAGCCUGAUGCAGCAACGCCGCGUGCGGGAUGACGGCCUUCGGGUUGUAAACCGCUUUCGCCUGUGGCGAAGCGUGAGUGACGGUAAUGGGUAAAGAAGCACCGGCUAACUACGUG